UACGAAGGGGGCUAGCGUUGCUCGGAAUCACUGGGCGUAAAGCGCACGUAGGCGGCUUUCUAAGUCAGGGGUGAAAUCCUGGAGCUCAACUCCAGAACUGCCUUUGAUACUGGGGAGCUCGAGUCCGGAAGAGGUGAGUGGAACUCCGAGUGUAGGGGUGAAAUUCGUAGAUAUUCGGAAGGAACACCAGUGGCGAAGGCGACUACCUGGCCUGUUCUUGACGCUGAGGCGCGAAGGCUAGGGGAGCAAACGGG
RNAcentral lists this ribosomal RNA (254 nucleotides) under uncultured bacterium. Its description in RNAcentral is "partial 16S ribosomal RNA". It matches the Rfam family "Bacterial small subunit ribosomal RNA", at positions 524 to 776 of the family's 1533-position model. The record is from RNAcentral.